RNAcentral lists this ribosomal RNA (989 nucleotides) under Acinetobacter baumannii. Its description in RNAcentral is "partial 23S ribosomal RNA". It matches the Rfam family "Bacterial large subunit ribosomal RNA", at positions 1942 to 2925 of the family's 2925-position model. The record is from RNAcentral. Lineage: Bacteria; Pseudomonadati; Pseudomonadota; Gammaproteobacteria; Moraxellales; Moraxellaceae.
AUAACGGUCCUAAGGUAGCGAAAUUCCUUGUCGGGUAAGUUCCGACCUGCACGAAUGGCAUAAUGAUGGCGGCGCUGUCUCCAGCAGAGGCUCAGUGAAAUCGAAAUCGCUGUGAAGAUGCAGUGUACCCGCGGCUAGACGGAAAGACCCCGUGAACCUUUACUGCAGCUUGACACUGAACUUUGACCUUACUUGUGUAGGAUAGGUGGGAGGCUUUGAAGCUGGAACGCUAGUUCCAGUGGAGCCGUCCUUGAAAUACCACCCUGGUAAUGUUGAGGUUCUAACUCUGUCCCGUGAUCCGGGACGAGGACCGUGUCUGGUGGGUAGUUUGACUGGGGCGGUCUCCUCCUAAAGAGUAACGGAGGAGUACGAAGGUGCGCUCAGCGUGGUCGGAAAUCACGCGUAGAGUAUAAAGGCAAAAGCGCGCUUAACUGCGAGACCCACAAGUCGAGCAGGUACGAAAGUAGGUCUUAGUGAUCCGGUGGUUCUGUAUGGAAGGGCCAUCGCUCAACGGAUAAAAGGUACUCUGGGGAUAACAGGCUGAUACCGCCCAAGAGUUCAUAUCGACGGCGGUGUUUGGCACCUCGAUGUCGGCUCAUCUCAUCCUGGGGCUGAAGCAGGUCCCAAGGGUAUGGCUGUUCGCCAUUUAAAGAGGUACGCGAGCUGGGUUUAGAACGUCGUGAGACAGUUCGGUCCCUAUCUACCGUGGGCGCUGGAAAUUUGAGAGGAUCUGCUCCUAGUACGAGAGGACCAGAGUGGACGAACCUCUGGUGUACCGGUUGUGACGCCAGUCGCAUCGCCGGGUAGCUAUGUUCGGAAGGGAUAACCGCUGAAAGCAUCUAAGCGGGAAGCCUACCUCAAGAUAAGAUUUCCCUAGGACUUUAUGUCCUCUAAAGAGCCGUUCGAGACUAGGACGUUGAUAGGUUGGAUGUGGAAGCAUAGUGAUAUGUGAAGCUGACCAAUACUAAUUGCUCGUGAGGCUUGACUAU